GAUCCUGGCUCAGGACGAACGCCGGCGGCGCGCCUAACACAUGCAAGUCGAACGAGCGAGAGAGAGCUUGCUUUCUCGAGCGAGUGGCGAACGGGUGAGUAACGCGUGAGGAACCUGCCUCAAAGAGGGGGACAACAGUUGGAAGCGACUGCUAAUACCGCAUAAGCCCACGACCCGGCAUCGGGAAGAGGGAAAAGGAGCAAUCCGCUUUGAGAUGGCCUCGCGUCCGAUUAGCUAGUUGG
Molecule: ribosomal RNA, 242 nt
Filed under: uncultured bacterium
Lineage: Bacteria
Description: partial 16S ribosomal RNA
Rfam family: Bacterial small subunit ribosomal RNA
Source: RNAcentral